GUGGGGAAUUUUGGACAAUGGGCGCAAGCCUGAUCCAGCAAUGCCGCGUGCAGGAAGAAGGCCUUCGGGUUGUAAACUGCUUUUGUACGGAACGAAAAGGCUCUGGUUAAUACCUGGGGCUCAUGACGGUACCGUAAGAAUAAGCACCGGCUAACUACGUGCCAGCAGCCGCGGUAAUACGUAGGGUGCAAGCGUUAAUCGGAAUUACUGGGCGUAAAGCGUGCGCAGGCGGUUUUGUAAGACAGACGUGAAAUCCCCGGGCUCAACCUGGGAAUGGCGUUUGUGACUGCAAAGCUGGAGUGCGGCAGAGGGGGAUGGAAUUCCGCGUGUAGCAGUGAAAUGCGUAGAUAUGCGGAGGAACACCGAUGGCGAAGGCAAUCCCCUGGGCCUGCACUGACGCUCAUGCACGAAAGCGUGGGGAGCAAACAGGAUUAGAUACCCGGGUAGUCC
RNAcentral lists this ribosomal RNA (450 nucleotides) under uncultured bacterium. Its description in RNAcentral is "partial 16S ribosomal RNA". It matches the Rfam family "Bacterial small subunit ribosomal RNA", at positions 354 to 796 of the family's 1533-position model. The record is from RNAcentral.